CCUAGAUAUUUUAAAUACAAAAAAUAUUCGCCAGAGAAUUACGAGCUAAACAUGCUUAAAACUCUAAGGACUUGGCGGUACCUCAAACCCACCUAGAGGAGCCUGUUCUAUAAUCGACAAUCCACGAUCCACCUCACCAUCUCUUGCCAACUCCGCCUAUAUACCGCCGUCACAGCUUACCUUAUGAAAGACAAAAAGUUAGCAAAAUAAUCUAAAUAAUUAACAAAUCAGGUCAAGGUGUAGCUUACUGAGAUGGAAGAAAUGGGCUACAUUUUCUAUACUAGAAAUAACUACGGAAAGAUACCUUGAAAUAGGUUCUAUAAGCAGGAUUUAGCAGUAAACUGGGAAAAGA
This 352-nucleotide ribosomal RNA is filed under the name Kinosternon leucostomum (white-lipped mud turtle). RNAcentral's name for it is "partial 12S ribosomal RNA". It matches the Rfam family "Bacterial small subunit ribosomal RNA", at positions 875 to 1353 of the family's 1533-position model. The record is from RNAcentral. Lineage: Eukaryota; Metazoa; Chordata; Testudines; Kinosternidae.